Molecule: microRNA precursor, 64 nt
Filed under: Eptatretus burgeri (inshore hagfish)
Lineage: Eukaryota; Metazoa; Chordata; Myxini; Myxiniformes; Myxinidae
Description: Ebu-Mir-1-P7_pre stem-loop
Rfam family: mir-1 microRNA precursor family
About the family: This family represents the microRNA (miRNA) mir-1 family. miRNAs are transcribed as ~70nt precursors (modelled here) and subsequently processed by the Dicer enzyme to give a ~22nt product. In this case the mature sequence comes from the 3' arm of the precursor. The extents of the hairpin precursors are not generally known and are estimated based on hairpin prediction.
Source: RNAcentral
ACGUACUUCUUUAUAUACCCAUAUAUGAGUGAUAGACUGUUAUGGAAUGUAAAGAAGUAUGUAU